This 909-nucleotide ribosomal RNA is filed under the name uncultured bacterium. RNAcentral describes it as "bacterial SSU rRNA". It matches the Rfam family "Bacterial small subunit ribosomal RNA", at positions 33 to 926 of the family's 1533-position model. The record is from RNAcentral.
ACGCUGGCGGCGUGCCUAAUACAUGCAAGUAGAACGCUGAAGGAGGAGCUUGCUCUUCUGGAUGAGUUGCGAACGGGUGAGUAACGCGUAGGUAACCUGCCUGGUAGCGGGGGAUAACUAUUGGAAACGAUAGCUAAUACCGCAUAAGAGUAGAUGUUGCAUGACAUUUGCUUAAAAGGUGCAAUUGCAUCACUACCAGAUGGACCUGCGUUGUAUUAGCUAGUUGGUGUGGUAACGGCUCACCAAGGCGACGAUACAUAGCCGACCUGAGAGGGUGAUCGGCCACACUGGGACUGAGACACGGCCCAGACUCCUACGGGAGGCAGCAGUAGGGAAUCUUCGGCAAUGGACGGAAGUCUGACCGAGCAACGCCGCGUGAGUGAAGAAGGUUUUCGGAUCGUAAAGCUCUGUUGUAAGAGAAGAACGAGUGAGAGAGUGGAAAGUUCACACUGUGACGGUAUCUUACCAGAAAGGGACGGCUAACUACGUGCCAGCAGCCGCGGUAAUACGUAGGUCCCGAGCGUUGUCCGGAUUUAUUGGGCGUAAAGCGAGCGCAGGCGGUUAGAUAAGUCUGAAGUUAAAGGCUGUGGCUUAACCAUAGUACGCUUUGGAAACUGUUUAACUUGAGUGCAGGAGGGGAGAGUGGAAUUCCAUGUGUAGCGGUGAAAUGCGUAGAUAUAUGGAGGAGCACCGGUGGCGAAAGCGGCUCUCUGGCUUGUAACUGACGCUGAGGCUCGAAAGCGUGGGGAGCAAACAGGAUUAGAUACCCUGGUAGUCCACGCCGUAAACGAUGAGUGCUAGGUGUUAGACCCUUUCCGGGGUUUAGUGCCGUAGCUAACGCAUUAAGCACUCCGCCUGGGGAGUACGACCGCAAGGUUGAAACUCAAAGGAAUUGACGGGGGCCCGCAC